AUGACUCUGUUAAGAUUCCGGCUGAAUGAAACCAUCACUCUGAACUGCAGCAUGACCCACACAUACGAAAUAGCCUGGUAUCACCAGAAUCCUGAAUCUGGACGACUAACACUGCUGAUAUUUGCUAUGGGCAGGAUAAAAAAGCUAAAUUCAUUGCGUGUAAACACUCGUGCAACAGUUAAAGCAGAUAUAUGGAGCAACACAGUCUCGCUUAUUAUUACUGGACUAAUGGAGUCAGAUUCAGGUCUUUAUUUCUGUGGAACAAGAUCAGCGACUUCAGAAAUGCACUUUGAGAAACCCAUCAGACUACAGCUUGAGGACAAGCUGACAGACAGAGAGGACGAAGCUUAUUCUGAUGUUGGGAUCAGUGAAGGUUAUUCUGAUGUUGAGAACCAGUGAAAUUGCAUUAGUGUAUAAGUUAUAAAUUAUGCAGAUUUUAAUAACCUAAAGAACCUUUAGUCCAAUGGAAAGAUUCUGUGGAUAUUAAAGAUUCUUCAUAGAACUAUCAAAUCCAAUUAAAAAACUUUUUUUAAAGAGUGUAACUGUGUAUGUUACUGAGCCUAACAGCUUGUCACAUUAUUACAGAAAGUGCUUCACAGAUGUCAGCAUGAUUUUAUCAGAGUUCAAACUCAGCACAAUCGAUCAGAAUCUGUCUUGAUUCUGUUGUUUAAUGAAUGUUGGUUUCUGAAUGUUUUCUGUCUGUCUGUAGACAGGCUGGCGCUGACGGAGCGUUGCUGAUGGUCGGUGGUGUUGGUUUGGGUGUGUUUGUGUUUUCUGGCUAUAAUCAUUGCAGGAAGAAACAUUUACUGUCACAGCAGUGGUGGCUCACCAGUGUGGCAAACUUGUUCAAAUAGUGUCUUCAGUGUUAAAUGUGUCAUUAAAUAAUCAGCAGUAAAACUAAGAAAUCAUGUCACAGUUGUAUUUUUGAUGGACAAAUUAUAGAAAUUCUUUUUAAAUGUGAUGUAGACCUACAGUAAAAAAUACUGUCUGUUUUUAUAAAUAAACAGAAACAGGCGUGAAUGAAUAAAUGUGUC
Molecule: long non-coding RNA, 1034 nt
Organism: Cyprinus carpio (common carp)
Lineage: Eukaryota; Metazoa; Chordata; Actinopteri; Cypriniformes; Cyprinidae
Source: Ensembl